CCUACGGGUGGCAGCAGUCGAGAAUUUUUCACAAUGGGGGAAACCCUGAUGGAGCGACGCCGCGUGGGGGAUGAAGGGCUUCGGCUCGUAAACCCCUGUCAGUUGCGAACAAAGUGUACCGGUGAACAUCCGGUGCGCUGAUAGUAGUGACAGAGGAAGGGACGGCUAACUCUGUGCCAGCAGCCGCGGUAAUACAGAGGUCCCGAGCGUUGUUCGGAUUCACUGGGCGUAAAGGGUGCGUAGGCGGCUGGGUAAGUCUGAUGUGAAAUCUCCGGGCCCAACCCGGAAAUGGCAUUAGAAACUACCUGGCUGGAGGCUUGGAGGGGGAACUGGAAUGCUUGGUGUAGCAGUGAAAUGCGUAGAUAUCAAGCGGAACACCGGUGGCGAAGGCGAGUUCCUGGACAAGACCUGACGCUGAGGCACGAAAGCCGGGGGAGCAA
This 440-nucleotide ribosomal RNA is filed under the name uncultured bacterium. RNAcentral describes it as "bacterial SSU rRNA". It matches the Rfam family "Bacterial small subunit ribosomal RNA", at positions 338 to 771 of the family's 1533-position model. The record is from RNAcentral.